ACGAGGGAGCGUCCGCGGCCCGCGCAGAGCCGCGCACCAAGCCGAUGGCGGUGGACGCAGCAGGGCCCCGCGGUCUGAGUGCGGGCAGGCGCGCGUGGGCGUGUCUCCCUGGCCCACGCGUGUCCCCGGCAUCAGUGUCUCGGCUCUGGUCCAGGACGAAGACUUCUGAAAGCGAGCCAAGGAGAAUCACAGUUCUUAACGGAGCCCCUGACUGCCCGGUGGAAGGAGGUGAUUUAGAAGACAGUGAGACUCAGCUACUGUUCCCAUCGAGAUGCAAAGGACACAGAGCUCACGGGUGCUCCAGCAAUGCUGGUGUCAUGUUUGGAGGUAGCUGUCUAUGGACUACAGUAUUCUCCCAGUGCUAGUCUGCAGUCACUGCAAAGCCUCCCAAUAGAACAUUUCUUCCUGAGCCAACCUAUCAGUGCAGCUCUGGAAGCAAAUGACCUCUCCUGGCAGAGCCUUCACUGUGUGGGGAACAUCAGAUUUGUGUAAAGAAGAUCACCUGUCUCUUCUCAGGUGUGCACUGUAGAGAAGCUGCUGCGAAGGCCACAGGUCACUCAGGAAAAUUUGGGGCAGUUUUCUAGGUUCAAGGGAGACUGGACAUCAAAGCUGCACUGGGACAUAUGGACGCCUUGAUCCACUUUGGCCAUUCCACCUCAGCUCAGAAUUACUCACUGGUGUCAGAGUGAUUAAUUUCACUUUCAGUGCCUUCCUUCCCGAGUGGAGUGCUUCUGUAGAGACUCCUAAUUCAGUGAAACCUGUCCAGGGGAUCAUCCCUGCUAGACAGACAGCUGCGAGAGGCCAGUGGCUUCCCAGCAUGGAUUUCAGAUUAUGGCCAAUCAAGAGCUGGGGCUGUGGAACACCUGUUGGCAGCGACACUGGCUAAGGACGGAUGAGGAGAUGAGCUCUUUAAUCGAAUUUCAUUGUACUUCAGAAAAAAGGUUUAUUUUCAAUGUGGCGUUUGCUUUUAUGAUUCAUCCCUCUCAGCUGAGACAUCAAUUUGGGGCUUAUUUAUGGUGCUGUUCUAGAGUGAAACAAGAAGCUGCCAGGCCGUGCUUCAAAAGGCAGCCUCUCCCAGACGGUCGGUUUGCAGCUUGCUCAUGUGGGAAAAAAUACAGAAAAGAAAUGUAAAACUUUAGUGCUGAAGUUCUGUGUGUGAAUAUAAUUAGUGAUAGGGAUUCUUUUGAGCGCACUUCCAGAAUGUUGAAGCCCGAGAGUUCGUGUUCAUAGUGAAGUCUGGGGAACUUUCCUUGUGGAAAUCCGUUCCGCUUAUCUGUGAGCAGCGCAACCAUCAUUGAUACUGAUGGGCUCCGAAAGGCCGUGCACGGCUUUCAGCUUGGCCCUAAUUGGAGGACCUGCUAAGCUCAUAAUACCAGGUACUUUCUCACAGCUGCAGAGCGUGGAGUGUAACUAUCAGAAGACAAACUUCAUUGUGCAAACUGUAAUUUAAUGGUAUAACUGUGUGCAGCCCAGAAUAUCAGUUAAUUUUCAAAACAUUUUAUUCUACAGCAAUUAGCUCAGGUCCUGGAGGGCAAAAUGACAAGAGGUUACUCGUUCACUAUGUAUUUAAUUAAUUGAAAAAUGCUCCAAUUGCCUUUACAGUUGUUAUUAGAGAGUGGAAUCAGUGUUGCCAGCACUCAACCAUAAUUGGAACCCCAGGGAAUUAAAUAUUUAGCAUUAGUAAUGUACCAGCACUUAGGACACAAAUUUCUAUUUUCGUAAUGAAAGCUAUACACUGUGAGUGCAAGCUGCUGAAAGGACAGCUGUGACAAGCGAGACGGCCUGGGACAUUUCAAUAAGACACCUCAUUGGACAGCAAGUCUCACCACAUUACGCGUUUGUAAGAGACCUGCAAGUUUAAUUCCCAUGAGGAACUCAUAGCCCAAGUCUUUAGCGUCCUAAUUGCAUGCAGGAUGAAUGGUUGGGCAAAUGUCUUGCUGCAAAUGGCUCAAAUUCAUCCUCCUUUCUAAAUAAUCGCAUAUAAGUUCGUGCCUUUGUCAAUUUAAAAAUACUGGGACUGUCAGGGACUAGGGCCUUGUUUGUUUUUCCUGUAAUUAUAUUUUAAGCACACAUGCUUUCAGUGCUACAAUGAGAAAAGUUGGAUAUUGGGCUCUAAUGAGCUGCAGUGCUAGACACUGGAGACCCUGAGGGAUUCACUCCAUAAAUUAGCUGGAUAAAAAGUACUUGGUUAGGAUAUAGUUGAUGGCUGAGCUGUUCGUAAAACCAGUUAGAGUACUGUCUCGCACUCUGUUUCAUUCUAAACAGGCCCUGUAGAGACUUUAACAGCUGCCUGUUAACGCUGCUCAACUUGUCAAAAUGUAUUAUAUUACUCCACUAAUAAAUAGUAUUAAAAGGGA
This 2357-nucleotide long non-coding RNA is filed under the name Mus musculus (house mouse). Its description in RNAcentral is "colorectal neoplasia differentially expressed, non- protein coding". Lineage: Eukaryota; Metazoa; Chordata; Mammalia; Rodentia; Muridae. The record is from RNAcentral.